AUCUAAAUUAACUUUCAAAACAUUCAUUUGACUAUCUUAGUAUAGGUGAUAGAACAGAUAUAUUUUGGCACAAUAGAGAGAGUACCGUGAGGGAACGUUGAAAGAUCUCAUCCUGAAAGCAAUAAAAAGCAAAGAUUAAACCUUCUACCUUUUGCAUAAUGAUUUAGCCAGUCUACACGGACAAAAAGAAUUAAAGCCCGUCCCCCCGAAAUUGAGUGAGCUAUUGUAGAACAGUUGUUAGAACGAACUCGUCUAUGUAGCAAAAUAGUGAGAUGAUUUUACAAUAGGGGUGAAAAGCCUAUCGAACUCAAUGAUAGCUGGUUGUCCAAAAAACGAAUUUUAGUUCAACUUUAAAUUUAACUCAAGUACUUACAAACUAAACUUAAAUUUAAAUGCUAAUCAAAAGGGGGACAACUCUUUUGACAUGUGAACAAACUUAUUUAGUGGGUAAUGAUUUAUACACAAAACAUUGUAGGCCUAAAAGCAGCCACCAAUUAAGAAAGCGUUAAAGCUCAAACUAGUUUGUCAUUUAAUACCAACAAUUUAUCAAAACCCCUAACCUAAUAUUGGACAAUUCUAUUAAUAUUUAGAAGAUAUAAUGCUAAUAUGAGUAACAUGAACAGGUUCUCCUUGCAUAAGCAUAUAUAAGACCGGAACAACCACUUACACUUAAUCAACUAGAUAACUAUAACCACAUACAAGUAUUUUAUUACCAAUAUUGUUAAUCCAACUCAGGCAUGCAUCAAGGAAAGAUUAAAAGGAAUAAAAGGAACUCGGCAAAUAAAACCCCGCCUGUUUACCAAAAACAUCACCUCUAGCAUUUACCAGUAUUAGAGGCACUGCCUGCCCGGUGAGUUAUGACUUUAACGGCCGCGGUAUCCUGACCGUGCAAAGGUAGCAUAAUCACUUGUCUCUUAAUUGGAGACUAGUAUGAAUGGCAUAACGAGGGUUU
Molecule: ribosomal RNA, 952 nt
Filed under: Antechinus mysticus (buff-footed antechinus)
Lineage: Eukaryota; Metazoa; Chordata; Mammalia; Dasyuromorphia; Dasyuridae
Description: partial 16S ribosomal RNA
Rfam family: Bacterial large subunit ribosomal RNA
Source: RNAcentral